CGCGGGGUGGAGCAGCACGGUCGCUCGUCGGGCUCAUAACCCGCAGGUCGCAGGUUCAAAUCCUGUCCCCGCAACCA
RNAcentral lists this transfer RNA (77 nucleotides) under Bacillus thuringiensis serovar kurstaki str. HD-1. RNAcentral describes it as "tRNA-fMet (CAT) (tRNA-fMet-CAT-2-1)". It matches the Rfam family "tRNA". Rfam says of the family: Transfer RNA (tRNA) molecules are approximately 80 nucleotides in length. Their secondary structure includes four short double-helical elements and three loops (D, anti-codon, and T loops). Further hydrogen bonds mediate the characteristic L-shaped molecular structure. tRNAs have two regions of fundamental functional importance: the anti-codon, which is responsible for specific mRNA codon recognition, and the 3' end, to which the tRNAs corresponding amino acid is attached (by aminoacyl-tRNA synthetases). tRNAs cope with the degeneracy of the genetic code in two manners: having more than one tRNA (with a specific anti-codon) for a particular amino acid; and 'wobble' base-pairing, i.e. permitting non-standard base-pairing at the 3rd anti-codon position. The record is from RNAcentral. Lineage: Bacteria; Bacillati; Bacillota; Bacilli; Caryophanales; Bacillaceae.